AUUAAAAAUUUGGAGAUGGCACCACUGCCGGAAUGUUUAUGUUUUGCUGAAGACGCAAAAAUAAAGGUUUCGGAACCAAAGGAUUUCCGGUUCAGCCAGGAUGUGUCCUAGAAUCUGCUCUAUUUGUAGGAAUAGCGCCUCAAAACUCAUAACGCAUCAUUUGUGCGAAUGCUGCUCGGAACGGUUCCUGAUUAAAUCCGGCGGAACAGUAACCGGUUCUAGCGAUGAAGGCUGUCUGGAGCAGAAACCUGGGCUUUUAGACGAAACUGGAGACGUUCUUGGUUUAC
This is a long non-coding RNA of Aedes albopictus (Asian tiger mosquito), 287 nucleotides long. RefSeq lists it as uncharacterized. Lineage: Eukaryota; Metazoa; Arthropoda; Insecta; Diptera; Culicidae. The record is from RefSeq and is a predicted model, not a curated record. The transcript is spliced from 3 exons.